AGUUCGGAUUGUAGGCUGAAACUCGCCUACAUGAAGCUGGAGUUGCUAGUAAUCGCGAAUCAGCAUGUCGCGGUGAAUACGUUCCCGGGCCUUGUACACACCGCCCGUCACACCAUGAGAGUUGGCAAUACCCAAAGUUGGUGAUCUAACCUCGCAAGAGGAGGAAGCCACCUAAGGUAGGGUCAGCGAUUGGGGUGAAGUCGUAACAAGGUAGCCGUAGGAGAACCUGCGGCUGGAUCACCUCCUUU
This 248-nucleotide ribosomal RNA is filed under the name Bacillota bacterium. RNAcentral describes it as "partial 16S ribosomal RNA". It matches the Rfam family "Bacterial small subunit ribosomal RNA", at positions 1290 to 1533 of the family's 1533-position model. Lineage: Bacteria; Bacillati; Bacillota. The record is from RNAcentral.